GACGAACGCUGGCGGCGUACUUAACACAUGGAAGUCGAACGGAAAGGCCCUGCUUUUGUGGGGUGCUCGAGUGGCGAACGGGUGAGUAACACGUGAGUAACCUGCCCUUGACUUUGGGAUAACUUCAGGAAACUGGGGCUAAUACCGGAUAGGAGCUCCUGCUGCAUGGUGGGGGUUGGAAAGUUUCGGCGGUUGGGGAUGGACUCGCGGCUUAUCAGCUUGUUGGUGGGGUAGUGGCUUACCAAGGCUUUGACGGGUAGCCGGCCUGAGAGGGUGACCGGCCACAUUGGGACUGAGAUACGGCCCAGACUCCUACGGGAGGCAGCAGUGGGGAAUAUUGCACAAUGGGCGGAAGCCUGAUGCAGCAACGCCGCGUGCGGGAUGACGGCCUUCGGGUGGUAAACCGCUUUCGCCUGUGACGAAGCGUGAGUGACGGUAAUGGGUAAAGAAGCACCGGCUAACUACGU
RNAcentral lists this ribosomal RNA (467 nucleotides) under uncultured bacterium. RNAcentral's name for it is "partial 16S ribosomal RNA". It matches the Rfam family "Bacterial small subunit ribosomal RNA", at positions 28 to 506 of the family's 1533-position model. The record is from RNAcentral.